RNAcentral lists this ribosomal RNA (3106 nucleotides) under Actinoplanes sp. TFC3. Its description in RNAcentral is "bacterial LSU rRNA". It matches the Rfam family "Bacterial large subunit ribosomal RNA". The record is from RNAcentral. Lineage: Bacteria; Bacillati; Actinomycetota; Actinomycetes; Micromonosporales; Micromonosporaceae.
UUAAGUUGUCAAGGGCGAACGGUGGAUGCCUUGGCACCAGGAGCCGAUGAAGGACGUGGGAGGCCGCGAUAGGCCUGGGGGAGCUGUCAACCUAGCUGUGAUCCCAGGGUGUCCGAAUGGGGGAACCUGGCACGAGUCAUGUCGUGUCACCUGCAUCUGAAUUCAUAGGGUGUAGGGGGGAACGCGGGGAAGUGAAACAUCUCAGUACCCGUAGGAAGAGAAAACAAUUUAGUGAUUCCGUGAGUAGUGGCGAGCGAAAGCGGAUGUAGCCUAAACCUUGCGUGUGUGAUACCUGUCAGGGGUUGCGCGUGGGGGGUUGUGGGAUCUGUUUUCUGUGUCUGACAGUGCAGAGAAGAGUUAUAAAGUUGCAUGUUAGUCGAAUGGUGUGGGAAAGCCAGCCGUAGACGGUGAGAGCCCGGUAGGCGAAAAUGUGUGACCUCUUUACAGAUAUCCCGAGUAGCAGCGGACUCCUGAAAUCUGCUGUGAAUCUGCCAGGACCACCUGGUAAGGCUGAAUACUUCCUGGUGACCGAUAGCGGACGAGUACCGUGAGGGAAUGGUGAAAAGUACCCCGGGAGGGGAGUGAAAUAGUACCUGAAACCGUUCGCCUACAAUCCGUCAGAGCCUUUCGGGGUGAUGGCGUGCCUUUUGAAGAAUGAGCCUGCGAGUUAGUGGCAUGUGGCGAGGUUAACCCGUGGGGGGUAGCCGUAGCGAAAGCGAGUCUGAAGAGGGCGUUUGAGUCGCAUGUUCUAGACCCGAAGCGGGGUGAUCUAGCCAUGGGCAGGUUGAAGCGUGGGUAAGACUGCGUGGAGGACCGAACCCACCAACGUUGAAAAGUUGGGGGAUGACCUGUGGUUAGGGGUGAAAGGCCAAUCAAACUCCGUGAUAGCUGGUUCUCCCCGAAAUGCAUUUAGGUGCAGCGUCGUGUGUUUCUUGCCGGAGGUAGAGCACUGGAUGGUCUAGGGGGCCUACAAGCUUACCGAAAUCAGCCAAACUCCGAAUGCCGGUAAGUGAGAGCGCGGCAGUGAGACUGCGGGGGAUAAGCUUCGUAGUCGAGAGGGAAACAGCCCAGAUCACCAGCUAAGGCCCCUAAGCGUGUGCUAAGUGGAAAAGGAUGUGGGGUCGCUUAGACAACCAGGAGGUUGGCUUAGAAGCAGCCAUCCUUUAAAGAGUGCGUAAUAGCUCACUGGUCAAGUGGUUCCGCGCCGACAAUGUAGCGGGGCUCAAGCACACCGCCGAAGCUGUGGCAUUCACAUGGUAGCCCGGUGGGAACUUUCGGGUUUUCAUCCAGGUGUGUGGAUGGGUAGGGGAGCGUCGUAUAGCGGGUGAAGCGCCGGGGUGACCCAGGUGUGGACGCUAUACGAGUGAGAAUGCAGGCAUGAGUAGCGAAUGAAGGGUGAGAAACCCUUCCGCCGGAUGACCAAGGGUUCCAGGGCCAGGCUAAUCCGCCCUGGGUGAGUCGGGGCCUAAGGCGAGGCCGAGAGGCGUAGUCGAUGGAUAACGGGUUGAUAUUCCCGUACCCGCGUAGGAGCGCCCAAGACGAACCCACCUGUACUAACCACGCGAAGUGCCGGCGGUUUUCGGACCUAUGGUAUGGAGUCUGGGAUCUUGGGUGGUAGUAGUUUAGUGAUGGGGUGACGCAGGAAGGUAGCUGAUCCCGGCCGGUGGUUGUGCCGGGGUAAGCGUGUAGCCCGAUGUGUAGGUAAAUCCGCAUGUCAUGUGGGUGAGACGUGAUGCCGAGCCGUUCAGGUGAAGUCAGUGAUCCUAUGCUGCCGAGAAAAGCCUCUAGCGAUGUUCCGAGCGGCCCGUACCCUAAACCGACACAGGUGGUCAGGUAGAGAAUACCGAGGCGACGGGCGAACUGUGGUUAAGGAACUCGGCAAAUUGCCCCCGUAACUUAGGGAGAAGGGGGGCCGGACGCGUGAAGCCCCGUGCGGGUGGAGCGUGGUAUGGCCGCAGAGAGCAGGGGGAAGCGACUGUUUACUAAAAACACAGGUCCAUGCGAAGUCGUAAGACGAUGUAUAUGGACUGACGCCUGCCCGGUGCUGGAACGUUAAGGGGACCUGUUAGCCUUUCGGGGCGAGGCGGAGAACUUAAGCGCCAGUAAACGGCGGUGGUAACUAUAACCAUCCUAAGGUAGCGAAAUUCCUUGUCGGGUAAGUUCCGACCUGCACGAAUGGCGUAACGACUUCCCCACUGUCUCAACCACAGGCCCGGCGAAAUUGCAGUACGAGUAAAGAUGCUCGUUACGCGCGGCAGGACGGAAAGACCCCGGGACCUUUACUAUAGCUUGACAUUGGUAUCUGAAUGUAAUUGUGUAGGAUAGGUGGGAGCCGGUGAAGCUCGGACGCCAGUUCGGGUGGAGGCAAUCUUGAAAUACCACUCUGUUGGAUUUGGGUAUCUAACUUCGGGCCCUGAUCGGGUCCAGGGACAGUGUCUGGUGGGUAGUUUAACUGGGGCGGUUGCCUCCUAAAGGGUAACGGAGGCGCCCAAAGGUUCCCUCAGCCUGGUUGGCAAUCAGGUGUUGAGUGUAAGUACAUAAGGGAGCUUGACUGUGAGACUGACAGGUCGAGCAGGGACGAAAGUCGGGACUAGUGAUCCGGCACUUGCGUGUGGAAGCGGUGUCGCUCAACGGAUAAAAGGUACCCCGGGGAUAACAGGCUGAUCUUCCCCAAGAGUCCAUAUCGACGGGAUGGUUUGGCACCUCGAUGUCGGCUCGUCGCAUCCUGGGGCUGUAGCAGGUCCCAAGGGUUGGGCUGUUCGCCCAUUAAAGCGGUACGCGAGCUGGGUUUAGAACGUCGUGAGACAGUUCGGUCCCUAUCCGCCGUGCGCGUUGGAUACUUGAGAAGGGCUGUCCCUAGUACGAGAGGACCGGGACGGACGAACCUCUGGUGUGCCAGUUGUCCCGCCAGGGGCACGGCUGGUUAGCUACGUUCGGAAGGGAUAACCGCUGAAAGCAUCUAAGCGGGAAGCUCGCUUCGAGAUGAGGUAUCCCACCACCUUCGAGUGGGUAAGGCCCCCAGCUAGACGACUGGGUUGAUAGGCCGGAAAUGUAAGCCAGGUAACUGGUUCAGUUGACCGGUACUAAUAGGCCGAGGGCUUAACCA